Molecule: ribosomal RNA, 255 nt
Filed under: uncultured bacterium
Lineage: Bacteria
Description: partial 16S ribosomal RNA
Rfam family: Bacterial small subunit ribosomal RNA
Source: RNAcentral
UACGUAGGGUCCGAGCGUUGUCCGGAAUUACUGGGCGUAAAGAGCUCGUAGGUGGUUUGUCGCGUUGUUCGUGAAAACUCACAGCUCAACUGUGGGCGUGCGGGCGAUACGGGCAGACUAGAGUACUGCAGGGGAGACUGGAAUUCCUGGUGUAGCGGUGGAAUGCGCGGAUAUCAGGAGGAACACCGGUGGCGAAGGCGGGUCUCUGGGCAGUAACUGGACGCUGAGGAGCGAAAGCCGUGGGGAGCGAACAGG